AAGCUUCGACGCCUUCGAAACUCCUUCCCACUUCGACACAGUUGCAGCUUCGACACAAUAUUUAAAAGUUUUAUUUUAACAACAUAACCUUCAAAUAGAUAUUGGACCCACCACUUGUAUUUAAUUGAUAAAUACCAAAUUUAUGCCCAACAACCACAUCAUUAAAAAUGUGAUUAUUCCUAGAGUUCCAAAUAGACCAGAUCCAAAGAAUACAUUUGCAGAAAUCCUCCUAUCCACCCACUACUAGAAAAAUUUAUAUUUAGAGAGGGUACAUAGAUUUCCGUCACUAAUAUGAGUAAUUCAAUAACAAAUAUGUUUAUUGACAGAAUUUGUGACGACCCAAAAAUGUAACAAAAACU
Molecule: long non-coding RNA, 359 nt
Filed under: Trifolium pratense (red clover)
Lineage: Eukaryota; Viridiplantae; Streptophyta; Magnoliopsida; Fabales; Fabaceae
Description: long non-coding RNA (TPRA_LNC004642)
Source: RNAcentral